UACGAAGGGGGCUAGCGUUGCUCGGAAUUACUGGGCGUAAAGCGCACGUAGGCGGCUUUCUAAGUCAGGGGUGAAAUCCUGGAGCUCAACUCCAGAACUGCCUUUGAUACUGGAGAGCUUGAGUCCGGAAGAGGUGAGUGGAACUCCGAGUGUAGAGGUGAAAUUCGUAGAUAUUCGGAAGAACACCAGUGGCGAAGGCGGCUCACUGGUCCGGUACUGACGCUGAUGUGCGAAAGCGUGGGGAGCAAACAGG
This 253-nucleotide ribosomal RNA is filed under the name uncultured bacterium. Its description in RNAcentral is "partial 16S ribosomal RNA". It matches the Rfam family "Bacterial small subunit ribosomal RNA", at positions 524 to 776 of the family's 1533-position model. The record is from RNAcentral.